This is a small nucleolar RNA of Dipodomys ordii (Ord's kangaroo rat), 173 nucleotides long. NCBI's taxonomy places the organism in Eukaryota, Metazoa, Chordata, Mammalia, Rodentia, Heteromyidae. The record is from Ensembl.
AAGUUAAAAAAUUCACUGUGCUAAAAUCGCAGAAACUAGGGUCCUGUCUGGUUUCUGUAAUAAUGUUAGCAGAGUACACACAAGAAGGAAAGUAUCUGCACUGGAUCCAAGAUGGGGUAGGUCUCUUUUUUAAUGUCCAGUGUCUUUUGUCUUUAAGAUUUGGUGCAAUAUGC